RNAcentral lists this ribosomal RNA (215 nucleotides) under Campeiostachys nutans. Its description in RNAcentral is "Elymus nutans partial small subunit ribosomal RNA". The stretch from base 46 to 215 matches the Rfam family "Eukaryotic small subunit ribosomal RNA", at positions 693 to 864 of the family's 1831-position model. The record is from RNAcentral. Lineage: Eukaryota; Viridiplantae; Streptophyta; Magnoliopsida; Poales; Poaceae.
GGAUCAAUAUAUCGGUCGUGCCUUGGUACGUACUGGUAUCAUUGGUUUCUCCUUUCUGACGAACCAUGAUGUCAUUAAUUUGGUGUUAUGGGAAGUUAGGACUGUUACUUUGAAAAAAUUAGAGUGUUUAAAGCAGGCUUUAGCUUGAAUACAUUAGCAUGGAAUAAUGAAAUAGGACGUUCGAUCCUAUUUUGUUGGUUUCUAGGAUUGACGUA